CAGUCGCCGCGGUAAUACGAAGGGGGCUAGCGUUGUUCGGAUUUACUGGGCGUAAAGCGCACGUAGGCGGAUUCUUAAGUCAGAGGUGAAAUCCCAAGGCUCAACCUUGGAACUGCCUUUGAUACUGGGGAUCUCGAGUCCGGGAGAGGUGAGUGGAACUGCGAGUGUAGAGGUGAAAUUCGUAGAUAUUCGCAAGAACACCAGUGGCGAAGGCGGCUCACUGGCCCGGUACUGACGCUGAGGUGCGAAAGCGUGGGGAGCAAACAGGAUUAGAUACCCGUGUAGUCCCUGUCUCUUAUAA
RNAcentral lists this ribosomal RNA (301 nucleotides) under uncultured bacterium. Its description in RNAcentral is "partial 16S ribosomal RNA". It matches the Rfam family "Bacterial small subunit ribosomal RNA", at positions 509 to 809 of the family's 1533-position model. The record is from RNAcentral.